GACGAACGCUGGCGGCGUGCUUAACACAUGCAAGUCGAACGGAAAGGCCCUGCUUUUGUGGGGUGCUCGAGUGGCGAACGGGUGAGUAACACGUGAGUAACCUGCCCUUGACUUUGGGAUAACUUCAGGAAACUGGGGCUAAUACCGGAUAGGAGCUCCUGCUGCAGGGUGGGGGUUGGAAAGUUUCGGCGGUUGGGGAUGGACUCGCGGCUUAUCAGCUUGUUGGUGGGGUAGUGGCUUACCAAGGCUUUGACGGGUAGCCGGCCUGAGAGGGUGACCGGCCACAAUAGGACUGAGGUACGGCCCAGCCGCCUACGGGAGGCAGCAGUGGGGAAUAUUGCACAAUGGGCGGAGGCCUGAUGCAGCAGCGCCGCGUGCUGGAUGACGGCCUUCGGGUUGUAAACCGCUUUCGCCUGUGACGAAGCGUGAGUGACGGUAAUGGGUAAAGAAGCACCGGCUAACUCCGUG
This 468-nucleotide ribosomal RNA is filed under the name uncultured bacterium. Its description in RNAcentral is "partial 16S ribosomal RNA". It matches the Rfam family "Bacterial small subunit ribosomal RNA", at positions 28 to 507 of the family's 1533-position model. The record is from RNAcentral.